UCACUAUAUUUUGGAACACAGCCUGUCUUUGCUUCUCAUCUGCACUCAUUAGAUCAGUUCACUCUCUAUUACUGCAGGAACUACAGACUUUAAAAAUCCUUUCUACAGCUACAAGUCCAACUGACGCGACUUCAGCGCUCAUAUGUGGAGUUUAUUUGGGAAUCUCGAGUGAUUUGAGCAGAAGUUUGAGUUGUUUUUAAGUUUUUACAGGCGCUAAUGUUAGCCUGUUAGCUCUUAUUCUUUCCCUAUAAACCUCUGAUCAAAUCAACAUGAAGAUCACUGUGGAUUUUGAAGAAUGUCUUAAAGAUUCACCUAGAUUCAGCUUAUCAUUUCUAGUAGAUGUUUCAUGCAUUGUUUUGGCUAGCCUAUAUCAAGGCAGUGCUACACUAUUUAAUGGGCAACAGUCGAGGAAGUGGAGGGCGACGUCAGUGAGCUGGAGUCCAAACUAGACAAGCUGGUGAAGUUGUGCAUUGGAAUGAUAGAUGCUGGAAAGGCGUACAACACGGCCAACAAACAAUUUGUGAACGGAAUUCGAGAGUUAGCUCAGCAGUCUGCCAAGGAUGAUGUCAUCGAGUCCAGUCUUUCCAAGUUUGCUGAGAGUCUUCAAGAGAUGAUCAACUAUCACACAAUUUUGUUCGACCAAGCACAGCGAUCAAUCAAAUCACAACUGCAGACGUUUGUGCGAGAGGACCUUCGGAAGUUUAAAGAAGCUAAGAAACAAUUUGACAAAGUGAGUGAAGAGAAAGAGGCAGCUCUGUCCAAAAAUGCCCAGGCACCUCGCAACAAACAACAUGAAGUGGAAGAGGCCACCAACAUCCUCAAUGCAACACGCAAGUGUUUCCGACACAUCGUUCUGGACUAUGUACUGCAGAUUAAUGUGCUCCAGUCCAAGAGACGAUCAGAAAUCCUCAAAUCGAUGCUGUCCUUCAUGUACGCUCACCUGACCUUCUUCCAUCAAGGUUAUGAUCUGUUCAGUGAACUACAACCCCUCAUGAAACAACUCACCGGACAGCUGGAUCAGCUGGUGAUGGUCUCGGCGAAUGAGAGGAAGGAUAUGGAGACCAAACACUCCACUAUACAACAGAAGUUGUUAACGAGGUCUCACUUCUUUUCUGUCCGUUCACGUGAGGCUGCACUGCAGGACUUUUCGAAUGAUGACACCAAACUGGAAUAUAAUGUGGAUGCCGAGAAUGGGAUUGUCAUGGAGGGAUAUCUGUUCAAGAGAGCCAGUAAUGCCUUCAAAACAUGGAACAGGCGAUGGUUCUCAAUUCAAAACAAUCAGCUCGUGUACCAAAAAAAAUUUAAGGAUAACCCUACUGUUGUGGUGGAAGACUUGCGGUUGUGCACUGUCAAACACUGCGAGGACAUCGAACGCCGCUUCUGUUUCGAAGUUGUGUCUCCAACAAAGAGUUGUAUGAUGCAAGCGGACUCUGAAAAACUCAGACAGGCCUGGAUCAAAUCCGUCCAAAACAGUAUUGCCACAGCCUUCAGGGACAAAGCAGAGGACACUGAGAAGAUGGACAGGAAGUCAUCUACAUCUACAGGCAGUCUGGACUUGGGUGGAGAUAAGACUCUUAAAGGUGACAGUGCGCUGCAGAGGGUGAUGGCCAUUGCUGGCAAUAGCACCUGCUGUGACUGUGGACAGCCUGACCCGCGCUGGGCGAGCAUUAACCUGGGCAUCACUCUCUGCAUUCAGUGCUCGGGGAUACACAGGAGUCUUGGAGUUCAUUUCUCUAAGGUCCGAUCUUUGACACUGGACACAUGGGAGCCUGAACUGCUCAAGUUGAUGUGUGAACUGGGAAAUGGUGUCAUUAAUCAAAUCUAUGAGGCACGCCGGGAAGAACUUGGAGCCAGAAAACCACAGCUGGGAGAUCCCAGGCAUGAGAUGGAGGCGUACAUCAAAGCCAAGUAUGUUGAGCGAAGGUUUGUCCAGAGACGGUCAGAAGAUGAGAUCAAAGAGAAGGUUUUAUCAUUGAGUAAUCCAGAUAAACGUCUCAGCAGCUGCUCAGAAGCUCAGCCUAAAAGACAACCAGCAACAUCAAAACCCCCACCUGCCUCUGGUUCCUCAGCCCAAAACGAGUAUCUCUUCUGUGUAGAUGAGCUUGACUCUCUCUUCUCCUACUUUAACACCUCUGACAAACCGCGUAGUUUGAAAAGUACAGACGCUGAAAGAGAGAACAUCGCAGAUGGAAACAAAGAAAUGCUGAAUACAACUGCAGCCUCCAACACACUCAGUGACAUGGAGUCGUACGUCACGGAUCCUCAGGCUGAAUGUUGUGGUAAAGAUGUGCUGGUGUUCUGUGAGCCGAAGCAGUUCACCGCAGGCCUGCAGCUGUACUGGGCAUCAUUCUCUCGCAGUCUGCCUGACAUGGCUGAAGCUCUUGCGCAUGGAGCCGAGGUGAACUGGACCAACACGGAUGAUGACAACAGGACGCCCCUCAUUAUGGCCGUACAUGGGGGAUCUCUGGUCACCUGUGAAUUUCUUCUGCAAAAUUCAGCCAGAGUGAACCAACAAGACAAUAGAGGCAGAGGACCAUUACAUCACGCCACAAUUCUGGGCCACACGGGACAAGUGUGUUUAUUCCUUAAGCGGGGAGCUAAUCAGAAUGCAGCAGACAUUGAGAAUAAAACGCCACUGUCAAUCGCAGUCGAGGCAGCUAACGCUGAUAUUGUCACGCUGCUUCGACUGGCAAAGAUGAACGAGGAAAUGCAGGAAUCGGAGGGUCCGUACAGUCAGUCAGGUCAAUAUAACUCUAACAGCCCUACUGAGAUGCAGUACAGGAAGUGUAUGGAAGAGUUCAUUAGAUUACAGCUCAAAGACUCCUAACACAUAUACUGUACAUUACUUGGCCAAAAUCACCAAAGCCUGCAGCAUAUGCACAAUAUCUGUGAAUGUACACUGCUCGAGCUUCAGUUCACCCCCGGAUGGGUUGAUAUAGCCUAGUAUUUUAAUGUAAAGCAUCUUAUUUAUUAACAGUAGUAGGUCAAAACUGCAAUAAAUAGUCUUGUAAAAGAUUGUAAAGUUGAACACAUAUGCACCUUAUUUACAUUUGACUGAAUGCAAAUACUGGCGGUCUUUGAUGGUAGCGUAUUGAAUACUCUGAUUUAUGGGUGAAUGUAUGAUUGUUUAUGAUCAUACUGACGCAUUCCUGAUAUUUAAAUCUUCAUUCAGUGUACUUCAGGGACAUGAGACUAUCUCAGUAAGUUUUGGAUACAUUUUUAUUACUAUUACAUUUACAAUUAUAUUGCAUUUAUGAAAACUAAUAAUUAUUAUGAAUGCAUAACAUAGUGUUAACAAAACAGAUACAAAACAGAAAGCACUUUUAGCUCAAUUGUUUUAGCUUAUUUUUACUGAAAUAUUUUAUUUGUAUCUACAUAACUGAAGUACUUUCAGAAUUAUCCAUUACAAAAGUGCUUAACAUAAGAGACAUGUUUAGCAUGAGUUGUAUAAUUAUUUUAAACAUGUUGAAUGUUGAGAGACAAAAAAAUGAUAUACAGUAUAUAUUUCUUAAUAUAAUGUGUAAUUAUGUUUUUAGGUGUAAAUAUAGGAAAAAGGAAAAACUAUAAAACCACAAUCUGAAGGUUCAAUUAUAUUACUAUAUUUAUGAAUAUUAUUAUAUUUUGAUAGAUUUACAAGUGCCAAAUUAAAACUGAUUGUAGUCAAGUAUGUUUAGCCACUGAGGGGUGUUGUAGAGCAGGAUUUUUACACCUAAUGCUGUUUGGAUCUGGUGAAAGUUCAGCCUGACGCACAAGGUCCUCCUAUCUAAUUAAUUUAUUUACUGUUUAUUUUCUGAAUUUUAAUACCAUAAACUGUCCUUAAGCAUAUCAUCCUUGUGACAUCUGCCUUCUUGAAUGUGACAGACAUAUAAUAACAUAUUCUCAGGUUUAAUCUAAAUGCAAAUGAAACAAAAUCCCUUUCUUAAAGAUGAAAGGUGCAGUGUAUUAUUCUGUGUACCGAUGCAAAUUGUAUAUAGAUGGUCUGUAUGUAAAAAGCAUAAAACACUAUUGUAUGUUACUGUAGAUUUCUGAGCUGCUGUCUUUCUCUGUUAUUCUGUUGCUGUAAUGAACUUUGAGAUAUUUGAUCAUUUCUGUAAAGUUAAAUACUUUAAAGGAACAUUCCAGGUUCAAUACACAAGUUCUAUCGACUUUGUGACGUACUGUUGAUUACCACUUAGAAUAAUUUCAACUCAUCCCUCAGUUAUUUCAAAGAAAUCAUCUUGAGACUAUACUCUUAAAAUUCUAUGUAAUAGUUCUCGAGUUUCUUUGUGGACUUCCAUUGUUAGUGUCUGUCUAUUAUGUAAUAUUAAUUGUGGUAACAUGAGACUAGUGCUAUUAAAUGCAGACUGACCUUCUCUGUGUAAAGUUGUACCCAAUUUUUCAAAGAGAUAAACCGGUACCUUUCACACAAACCAGAUACGAUUUUUUUUUACAUUGGAAAAUAAACACAGCAAUUACUUCUUCUGCCUAGAAAAGUAGCCCCACUGCUAAAAGGACAAGAUAGGCAACUGUAACGGCUCAAAUAACACAUUGUUGGGAGUAACGAGAGUGUUUUUUCAAGCCGUUGGACGUAAUGGGCCUCGUACAUAAAAUGCACUGAACUAAUUUGUGUAAACCAUUCCUACUUAAGCAAACUGUCCGACUGAAUUUAUUGCAACGUUUUACAUAAGAAUAUUUUUACGAAUGAUUUGCACGGAAAGGCAUUCUGCUUGGGUAAAUUGUUCUUAAAACCAUUCUUGCGUGAAUUCACAUUGAAUUGAAUGCAUCAAUUUAUGAAAGAAUGGUUUCUGAACAGUUUUACACAGAACUUUUUUCUGCUCGUGUAAAUUGUUUGUAAAACCAUGAAUUGUCACAUUGCGAAUGCGAAAAUGUACGUAAAAAUGGUUUGUGGAAUUUAUGCCAAAAUUUGUCAUGCUCCUGUAAAUCAUUCUUAAAAGCAUCCUUGCGUGAAUUCAGAUUAAAUUCUAUGCGACAAUUUACACAUUUGUUCUGCUUGUGUAAAUCAAUGCGACAAAAAUGGUUGCGUUUGGUCACGUAAAUUGUUCAUACAACAAUGAUUACGCUAAUUUGCAUUGAAUUGAAUUGACUCUAUGAUAGGAAUGUUUUACAGUUUUACACUGAUAUUUUUGUGCUUGUUAAUUUUCCAUAAAACUAUUUACCCAAACUGUCUAAUUGAAUUGAAUGCAAAAAUGUAUGUAAAAUGGUUUACCCAUUAUUUACUUUAAUUUGUUCUACUUAUGUAAAUAAUUUGUACAACCAUUCUUCCCCAAUUUUUCAGUUUAAUUUUCAAUUCUGUCAUGACCUCUUAAAGCAGAAAAAAACAGCGAAAUUUUGCACAAUACUUAGAGAAAGUUUGUUUUUCAUAGAGAAUUAAAAAAAAAUAAUUACAUCUUUGAUGAAAAACCAAAAGUUAAUCUGGCUGAAAAAGCUUACCCACUGUUGAAAGGACAAGUUAGACAACUUUACAGCUCAAAUAACACAUUUAUGUGCUUUAAUCAAAAGUUUUCUGCUUUAAAUGUUCCAGAAUGCUUGCUCCAUAGACUUCUUUUUAAUUGCAUUACUCGAAACAUUUUUUUGCUUUAAAAAAACCCUGAAAGACGAGACAAAAUGAUUUUUUGUGGUAAUCAACAUUAUGUAUCGAACCAAGAACAUACAUUCAGAUCUUCACACUAAUUUGUUAAAUGGUCAGAGAGAUCUGAUAUAUAGUCUUCAUAUACCAGAUGUAAAUAAAUAUACUUCAUAAGACAUAGUUUGUGUCAUGUCCGUUUCAACUCAUCAUUUCCUCCUUUCUCUCCUGCGUUCUGCUAAACUCUUGAGUUUGUCGUCUGAAGUACUGCAGGAGAUGAAACAUACAAGGACAUUUUCCAAGACUUCACCCAGAUGGCAUCAAAUGACCCAGAUAAACUCAACCGCUUCUGAGCACAUGAAUAAACCUCCAACAUUAUAGCACACCACGCCAACCUCCUCAUAAAUGCAGUUUGAUAUUUACUAGCAUUUUUUAAGAAAUGUGUAUUGGAUUGGCUACAGAAUAUUGGCCAUAAUACAAAGUAUAAAAUGUACUCAUUGGUUUGUGAUAUUUCAGUGAAUUGUAAUAAUGUUUUUUUUUUAGUUGAGUAAUAAUCCUCUGUUUAGUAUUACCUGUCAGAAUUUAAUGCAUGAAAUGUUUUCAUGUAUUCAAUAUCUAUGGUAAUUUGGGUGAAAAAUAAUAUUGCACUCACACCAGUUAAAUAUUGACAUUUUAUUGUAAAUUACAGUAAAAUAUUUCAUAUAGGUUUUCAUUCCAAGCGUUUUUGAUAUUACUAUAUAUAUUGAUUCUCAGAUGAACAGCGAGAAAUGGGAGUGUUCUUUUGAGCCAUUGGAGGUCACUCAUGAAACGCUGCAAAUCGCUCCUGCUUACACAAACGGACGCAUUGAAUUUUACGUAAGAAUAUAUUUACGAAUUAUUUGCACAGAAAUGUUCUGCUUGUGCAUUCUUACGUUAAUUCAUAUUGAAUUGAAUGUGACAGUUUACACAAGAAUGGUUUUGCAAAAGAUAUACAGGAAAUGCAUUGUUCAACACCAUUCUUACGUGAAUCGAACGUUUGUAAACCGCUUUUCUGUAAAUUUUUCAGUUAACACAGAAAAUCAUUCUGCUCCUGUAAAUUGUUCGUAAAACUAUUUAGUGAAUUGUUACAUAAAUUAAAUGCAACAGUUUAUGUAAAAUUGGAUGAUUUAUAAAUGAAUUACACGAGCAGAAAAACAAACAUUUUGCAGUCUCUCAUAAAAACCAUUCUUGCAUAAAUUGUCACAUUGCAUUAAAUGCAACAAUUUAUGUAAGAAUGGUUUUGUGAAAGAUUUACACAGAAUUCAUUGUACUCAUGUAAAUCACUCAUAAAUCCGUUCUUAUAUAAAUUGUGCCAUUCAAUUCAAAGCGAAUGGUUUAUCAAACUAUUUGCAAACACAUUUUCUGCUUGUGUUUCAUGAAAGAUACCCAGAUAAGAUUUUUGUAAAUAGCAUCUCAAUAGGAAUAUACUGUAGCUAUACUGAGGAGGGUAACAUUUAUGUUUACCUGUACGUAGUAACACAAUUCCUAAAAAACGAUACAUUUACUGUAUGUUUUUGUGCUCUCUGCAUGUUUUUAUAUGCUUAAUUGCUGUUCGAUGAUGUGCCGCUGUUACCGUGCAUUUUUUAAAGACAUCUUACAAAACUUGUGUGGUAUUUUUACAUUAGCAUGUGAACCCCAUCCCAAUUCCUUUAUAUGUGCACACAGUAUACAGUGAAACAUAAUCAUACCACAAUGUAUGGGGUGUAAAUUGUGUAUAUUCUGUACAUACAUCAUCUUGGACUGGUAAGUUUAUUUCGUAGUACUUUAAAUAGUGUAAUAAUCUUUUGUGCUGUUUACAUUUUUUUUUUUUUUUUUUGCUUUUUAUUCAACAUUCUGUAUUCAAGCAAUUUGAGAUUUGUAUCCACUGCGAAUGUUUGACUGAAAAUAUCUCAAGAUAUAUUAUAAAUUGUUUUCUCAGAGAUUUUAAAUAAUUAUUUUUGACCAUAAUUAUAAUUUAAUUUAAAGGACUUUAUGUACAUAAAGUCUCUAACCCUCUUCAGUAGAACUAUUCAUAAAAUAAAAUAAAAACACCCCGUUUCGACCCUA
Myxocyprinus asiaticus (Chinese sucker) is the source of this 7627-nucleotide RNA transcript. It is a transcript of the gene named arf-GAP with coiled-coil, ANK repeat and PH domain-containing protein 2-like, with no coding region annotated. The transcript is spliced from 26 exons. The record is from RefSeq and is a predicted model, not a curated record. Lineage: Eukaryota; Metazoa; Chordata; Actinopteri; Cypriniformes; Catostomidae.